AACGCACGAGACCUGCGGACCUGCGGAGGGAUCAUUAUAGAGUUUUUAACUCCCAAACCCAUGUGAACUUACCUUUGUUGCCUCGGCGGAGCCUACCCGGUACCUACCCUGUAGCGCCCCGCCGGUGGACUUCUAAACUAUUGUUAUUUUAAUGAUAUCUGAGAGUCUUAUUUUAAUAAGUCAAAACUUUCAACAACGGAUCUCU
This 205-nucleotide unclassified non-coding RNA is filed under the name soil metagenome. Its description in RNAcentral is "partial contains 5.8S ribosomal RNA, internal transcribed spacer 2, and large subunit ribosomal RNA". The record is from RNAcentral.